RNAcentral lists this transfer RNA (72 nucleotides) under Bos taurus (domestic cattle). It matches the Rfam family "tRNA". Rfam says of the family: Transfer RNA (tRNA) molecules are approximately 80 nucleotides in length. Their secondary structure includes four short double-helical elements and three loops (D, anti-codon, and T loops). RNAcentral also lists the same sequence under 5 other names. The record is from Rfam by way of RNAcentral. Lineage: Eukaryota; Metazoa; Chordata; Mammalia; Artiodactyla; Bovidae.
UCCCUGGUGGCUCAGAUGGUAAAGCGUCUGCCUGCAAUGCAGGAGACCAGGGUUUGAUCCCUGGGUUGGGAA